GACGAACGCUGGCGGCGUGCUUAACACAUGCAAGUCGGACGGUAAGGCUCCAGCUUGCUGGGGUACGCGAGUGGCGAACGGGUGAGUAACACGUGGGUGACCUGCCCUGCACUUCGGGAUAAGCCUGGGAAACUGGGUCUAAUACCGGAUAGGACCAUGGUGUGGAUACUGUGGUGGAAAGUUUUUUCGGUGUGGGAUGGGCCCGCGGCCUAUCAGCUUGUUGGUGGGGUAAUGGCCUACCAAGGCGGCGACGGGUAGCCGGCCUGAGAGGGUGGACGGCCACAUUGGGACUGAGACACGGCCCAGACUCCUACGGGAGGCAGCAGUGGGGAAUAUUGCACAAUGGGCGGAAGCCUGAUGCAGCGACGCCGCGUGGGGGAUGACGGCCUUCGGGUUGUAAACUCCUUUCACCAUCGACGAAGGGUUUCUGACGGUAGAUGGAGAAGAAGCACCGGCUAACUACGUG
Molecule: ribosomal RNA, 466 nt
Filed under: uncultured bacterium
Lineage: Bacteria
Description: partial 16S ribosomal RNA
Rfam family: Bacterial small subunit ribosomal RNA
Source: RNAcentral